RNAcentral lists this ribosomal RNA (459 nucleotides) under uncultured bacterium. Its description in RNAcentral is "partial 16S ribosomal RNA". It matches the Rfam family "Bacterial small subunit ribosomal RNA", at positions 338 to 795 of the family's 1533-position model. The record is from RNAcentral.
CCUACGGGCGGCAGCAGUGAGGAAUAUUGGUCCAUGGGCGCGAGCCUGAACCAGCCAAGUCGCGUGAGGGAAGACGGUCCUAUGGAUUGUAACCCUCUUUUGUCGGGGAGCAAAAGACGCCACGCGUGGCGUUCAGAGAGUACCCGAAGAAAAAGCAUCGGCUAACUCCGUGCCAGCAGCCGCGGUAAUACGGAGGAUGCGAGCGUUAGCCGGAUUUAUUGGGUUGAAAGGGUGCGCAGGCGGAAGAUCAAGUCAGCGGUAAAAUUGAGAGGCUCAACCGCUUCGAGCCGUUGAAACUGGUUUUCUGGAGUGAGUGAGAAGUAUGCGGAAUGCGUGGUGUAGCGGUGAAAGGCCUAGAUAGGACGAAGAACCCCGAUUGCGAAGGCAGCUUGCUGCAGCGGAACUGACGCUGAUGCUCGAAAGCGCGGGUAUCGAACAGGAUUAGAUACCCGAGUAGUC